Molecule: long non-coding RNA, 1127 nt
Filed under: Anser cygnoides (Swan goose)
Lineage: Eukaryota; Metazoa; Chordata; Aves; Anseriformes; Anatidae
Description: lncRNA (ENSACDG00005002827.1)
Source: RNAcentral
AUGGUCCCCACGCCACCUCUGGCCAGGGCUCGCGGCCCUGUUGCACACCUGACAGCUGCGCACAGACACUUGCCUGGGGUGGCCUGCGGCCCUACCAUGGCUAUCGGUGUUAUUCACCUCCUGUCAGUGCUGGGCCUCCUUCAGCUCGCUCUCAAGGUUGGGGACCAGCCCGACAAGGUCACCCAAGACCUCCUUCAAGAAAGAGAGAAGAUGCUGAGGGAGGAGAUGUCGUGGCUGCUGCAGGAGGUCGAAGAAGGAAGUGAGCUGGAGAGUGGGAAGAGCACACUGUUCAUGUUCCUCGCUGCGUGCCACCACUGGCAGUUCUGGGCACUUGCCGAAGUGCUUCUGAUACUGUUUGGGAUGUACUGGCUGCCCAGGCAGAGAAAAGCUGACACCAAUGGAGACACUGACCCAUGGAGCUCAAGCAGUGAGGAUGGGGUUGUAGGAGAGGAAAAGGAAGAGGAUGAUGAAGUUGAGGAAGAGUUGACUGCGGAAGAGGAGGAGUGGGAAGAAGUGCACCUCAACAACCAACAUGAUCCGGGCCUGCUUGUGGGUCAGCUCAGGGAGUCUCUGCUGCCAAAGCUGUUUAUGAUGUGGAACAUUAUGGAAGAGAUGGCAGGGGCAAACUCUGCAUCAGCAAACUCCCUUCAGAGAACCACUUUCAUGAUGGAGCUGCAGGCAGAGAUGGGGUUGGUUGCAACUCUGAGAACAACCUGGCUGUUUCACCCCUCAGUUACACCAAUGCCAAAUUUAAUGGUUCUCCUCAUGUGUCUUCACGCUUCCACUGAGGAAUACCUACAAAGAUUAGAUGCAUAGAUGCGUAGGAAUAGUCAAAAUAGCUAAAGUUGUUUGUUACGAGAUGUUUUCCAUAUAGAUUAGUCACCUCAAUAGAAAUAGAUUUGUAGUUUAUAAGGACCACCCGGCAGCUGGGUUUCAGGACUCUAGCAAACCUGUGGAGAGUCUCACCCAAUCCUUCUGAAGAUGCUGCUCCCAGGAGUCCUGCAGCAGAGGCUCCCAUUACCACCAUUACCAUCAGGACAGCAACUGCCUGCACUGCUACGGGAGUGGAUCCCCUCUAGGAGCAUUAGUGUAUAGAAAAUGCCAAUAAAUAUUUGAUUGUUUGAACA